RNAcentral lists this ribosomal RNA (485 nucleotides) under uncultured Corynebacterium sp. RNAcentral's name for it is "partial 16S ribosomal RNA". The record is from RNAcentral. Lineage: Bacteria; Bacillati; Actinomycetota; Actinomycetes; Mycobacteriales; Corynebacteriaceae.
CACGUAGUUAGCCGGUGCUUCUUAUCUAGGUACCGUCACACAAAGCUUCGUCCCUAGCGAAAGGAGUUUACAACCCGAAGGCCUUCAUCCCCCACGCGGCGUCGCUGCAUCAGGCUUGCGCCCAUUGUGCAAUAUUCCCCACUGCUGCCUCCCGUAGGAGUCUGGGCCGUAGCUCAGUCCCAAUGUGGCCGUACACCCUCUCAGGCCGGCUACCCGUCGCCGCCUUGGUAGGCCAUUACCCCACCAACAAGCUGAUAGGCCGCGAGCUCAUCCUACACCGAAAAAACUUUCCACCACACACACUAAAGUGCGGUCCUAUCCGGUAUUAGACCCAGUUUCCCAAGCUUAUCCCGAAGUGCAGGGCAGAUCACCCACGUGUUACUCACCCGUUCGCCACUCGAGUACCCUGCAAGCAGGGCCUUUCCGUUCGACUUGCGUGUGUUAAGCACGCCGCCAGCGUUCGUCCUGAGCCAGGAUCAAACUCU